This 440-nucleotide ribosomal RNA is filed under the name uncultured bacterium. RNAcentral's name for it is "partial 16S ribosomal RNA". It matches the Rfam family "Bacterial small subunit ribosomal RNA", at positions 338 to 795 of the family's 1533-position model. The record is from RNAcentral.
CCUACGGGAGGCAGCAGUGGGGGAUAUUGCACAAUGGGCGGAAGCCUGAUGCAGCGACGCCGCGUGUGUGAAGAAGCGCCUCGGCGCGUAAAGUCCUGUCAGCAGGGACGAAAAUGACGGUACUUGAAGAAUAAGCCCCGGCUAACUACGUGCCAGCAGCCGCGGUAAUACUGAGGGGGUAAGAGUCAUCCGGAUUUACUGGGUGUAAAGGGGGCGCAGACGGCGACGCAAGCCAGAAGUGAAAGCACGGGGCGCAACCCCGGGACUGCUCUUGGAACUGCGAGGCUGGAGUGCAGGAGGGGCAGGAGGAAUUCCUGGUGGAGCGGUGAAAUGCGUAGAUAUCAGGAGGAACACCGGUGGCGAAGGCGGCCUGCUGGACUGCAACUGACGUUGAGGCCCGAAAGCGUGGGGAGCAAACAGGAUUAGAUACCCCUGUAGUC